GAUGAACGCUAGCUACAGGCUUAACACAUGCAAGUCGAGGGGAAACGAUAGAGAAAGCUUGCUUUUUCUAGGCGUCGACCGGCGCACGGGUGAGUAACGCGUAUCCAACCUGCCCAUCACUUGGGGAUAACCUUGCGAAAGUAAGACUAAUACCCAAUGACGUCUCUAGAAGACAUCUGAAAGAGAUUAAAGAUUUAUCGGUGAUGGAUGGGGAUGCGUCUGAUUAGCUUGUUGGCGGGGUAACGGCCCACCAAGGCGACGAUCAGUAGGGGUUCUGAGAGGAAGGUCCCCCACAUUUGAACUGAGACACGGGCCAAACUCCUACGGGAGGCAGCAGUGAGGAAUAUUGGUCAAUGGGCGAGAGCCUGAACCAGUCAAGUAGCGUGCAGGAUGACGGCCCUAUGGGUUGUAAACUGCUUUUAUAAGGGAAUAAAGUGAGUCUCGUGAGACUUUUUGCAUGUACCUUAUGAAUAAGGACCGGCUAAUUCCGUGCCAGCAGCCGCAGUAA
This 508-nucleotide ribosomal RNA is filed under the name uncultured bacterium. RNAcentral's name for it is "partial 16S ribosomal RNA". It matches the Rfam family "Bacterial small subunit ribosomal RNA", at positions 28 to 523 of the family's 1533-position model. The record is from RNAcentral.